Molecule: ribosomal RNA, 406 nt
Filed under: uncultured bacterium
Lineage: Bacteria
Description: bacterial SSU rRNA
Rfam family: Bacterial small subunit ribosomal RNA
Source: RNAcentral
UGGGGAAUAUUGGGCAAUGGACGCAAGUCUGACCCAGCAACGCCGCGUGAAGGAAGAAGGCUUUCGGGUUGUAAACUUCUUUUAAGGGGGAAGAGCAGAAGACGGUACCCCUUGAAUAAGCCACGGCUAACUACGUGCCAGCAGCCGCGGUAAUACGUAGGUGGCAAGCGUUGUCCGGAUUUACUGGGUGUAAAGGGCGUGCAGCCGGGCCGACAAGUCAGAUGUGAAAUCCGCGGGCUUAACCCGCGAACUGCAUUUGAAACUAUUGGUCUUGAGUACCGGAGAGGUCAUCGGAAUUCCUUGUGUAGCGGUGAAAUGCGUAGAUAUAAGGAAGAACACCAGUGGCGAAGGCGGAUGACUGGACGGCAACUGACGGUGAGGCGCGAAAGCGUGGGGAGCAAACAGG